UACCGCCAUACCACCCUAAACACACCCAUUCUCAUCUGAUCUCAAAAGCUAAGCAGGGUCCGGCCUGGUUAGUACUUGAAUGGGAGAAACAGAUGGUUUGAAAAUGAGUUAGGUGAUAA
RNAcentral lists this ribosomal RNA (119 nucleotides) under Erinaceus europaeus (western European hedgehog). The record is from RNAcentral. Lineage: Eukaryota; Metazoa; Chordata; Mammalia; Eulipotyphla; Erinaceidae.